Molecule: ribosomal RNA, 245 nt
Filed under: uncultured bacterium
Lineage: Bacteria
Description: partial small subunit ribosomal RNA
Rfam family: Bacterial small subunit ribosomal RNA
Source: RNAcentral
AGAAUCAACGCUGGCGGCGUGCCUAACACAUGCAAGUCGAACGAGAAAGUGGAGCAAUCCAUGAGUAAAGUGGCGCACGGGUGAGUAACACGUGACUAACCUACCCUUGAGUGGGGGAUAACCUAGAGAAAUCUGGGCUAAUACCGCAUAAUACCUACGGGUCAAAGGAGCAAUUCGCUUUAGGAGGGGGUCGCGGCAGAUUAGUUAGUUGGCGGGGUAAUGGCCCACCAAGACAGUGAUCUGUA